UGGGGAAUUUUGGACAAUGGGGGCAACCCUGAUCCAGCAAUGCCGCGUGUGUGAAGAAGGCCUUCGGGUUGUAAAGCACUUUUGUCCGGAAAGAAAACGCCGUGGUUAAUACCCCGUGGCGGAUGACGGUACCGGAAGAAUAAGCACCGGCUAACUACGUGCCAGCAGCCGCGGUAAUACGUAGGGUGCAAGCGUUAAUCGGAAUUACUGGGCGUAAAGCGUGCGCAGGCGGUCCGCUAAGACAGAUGUGAAAUCCCCGGGCUUAACCUGGGAACUGCAUUUGUGACUGGCGGGCUAGAGUAUGGCAGAGGGGGGUAGAAUUCCACGUGUAGCAGUGAAAUGCGUAGAGAUGUGGAGGAAUACCGAUGGCGAAGGCAGCCCCCUGGGCCAAUACUGACGCUCAUGCACGAAAGCGUGGGGAGCAAACAGGAUUAGAUACCCUGGUAGUCCACGCCCUAAACGAUGUCAACUAGUUGUUGGGGAUUCAUUUCCUUAGUAACGUAGCUAACGCGUGAAGUUGACCGCCUGGGGAGUACGGUCGCAAGAUUAAAACUUAAAGGAAUUGACGGGGUCAUAGCUGUUUCCU
This 586-nucleotide ribosomal RNA is filed under the name uncultured bacterium. Its description in RNAcentral is "partial 16S ribosomal RNA". It matches the Rfam family "Bacterial small subunit ribosomal RNA", at positions 355 to 1375 of the family's 1533-position model. The record is from RNAcentral.